This 187-nucleotide unclassified non-coding RNA is filed under the name uncultured Eurotiomycetes. RNAcentral describes it as "sequence contains ITS1". Lineage: Eukaryota; Fungi; Ascomycota; Eurotiomycetes. The record is from RNAcentral.
UCGAGCAAGGGUCCCUCGGGGCCCGACCUCCCAACCCUUGUGUCUACCACACCACGUUGCUUUGGCGGGCCCGCCCUCACGGGGCCGCCGGAGGUCCCCACGGACCCCUGGCCCGCGCCCGCCAACGGCCUACGCACAAAAUCUGACAACGAACCGUGACCGUCUCAGUUUAAAAAUAAAUUAUGAA